Molecule: long non-coding RNA, 2394 nt
Organism: Equus caballus (horse)
Lineage: Eukaryota; Metazoa; Chordata; Mammalia; Perissodactyla; Equidae
Source: Ensembl
CGGCCGGGCGCAGGCGGCUGCCAGUCGGCUGAGUGGGCGAGGCCGCGCGGCCCGGACGGCCCGAGCGGGAGGGAGCGCGCCGCCGGCCGGUGGCGGCUGUCUCCCGGCUCGGCCCAGGCCCGGCGGGCGCGGGCAGCGCCCCAAGCGUGUCUUCCCUGCUCCUUCCUCCCGCCUCUCGCGGCCCCUCCGCCCGCAGCGCCCGCCCUCGGCUCCGCCCGCCGCCGCCGCCGGCGCAGCCCCUCGCGGUAACGGUCGGUAGCGGCCCGCGCGCGCCGCCCGCCGGGGGCUCGCGCCAGCCACGAGGGAGCGUCCGCGGCCCGCGGCCCGCGCGGCGGAGGAGAGGUGAGCCCGCGUCCCCCGUGCCGGCGCAUCCGCGUCCCCGCGUGGCCCCGAUGGACGCCGCCGGGCGCCCCGUGGGCACGGCCCGUGGGCGUGCAGGGCGGGCCUCUCCUGCUGUCGCGGUCCCCGGGCGGGCGCGCGUGGGCGUGUCCCCUCCAUCCACGCGCGGCGGCUUCACCCUCUCGGCUCUCGUCCAGGAUGCUGGUUUCUGAAAUGGAGCCAUGGAGAUCUCAUCCUCCUUGUGGGAGAGACACACCACCACCCUAGGAAAGGCAACAGAUUGUUCCUGUCAUAUCGCUUUGCUGUUUUGGCGUGUACUUAAAGGAUUAUGAUUGAUAAGGCUGUCUUGCCAGAGAAUGUUGACACAGGUGGUAAGUGUGAUGCUUCUAUAAUACAUUUGGAUGUUUUCAGCUAAGUUCACUCUGGACUCUGGGGCUCCUCCAGAUGUUGGCUGAAAUUUGUCCUUGCCCCUCCCCAGGCUCCUGCACAAAACCUACAGUUCAUAAUGGAGCUACUGUACUGGCUGUGGAAGGAGGAGAUUCUGAAGAUAGGGAGAUUCAGCUAUCGGUCUUUGAAAUUUCCUGUGGUCUGUUCAUUCUAGAUGCAAAGGACAUGGAAAAAUCAAGUGCUCAAGUGGUUUAAAUAUGUUUGGAUGUUCCUAUUUAUAGACUACAGCAUUUUUCCAAUUAAAAUCCUCAGUUGUCAUGCAGAAGAAGGUUAUGUUUUUCUUGAUCACCACUUUUAUUUGAAAUGCUUAGUAUUGUAGAGUAUCACCAUUUUCUGUUUUAGUCAAAAGUAUAGAAAAAAUUAAAUCAAUUUUAUAUAUUGAAUUUUUUUCUAAAAUGUCUUUAUUGGAUUGAACGAAUGUUUAUACCUGAAAAAAAAGGGUUAAAAAAUGCCUUUCUCCAUCCUAGCAAUUCUUCUGGCAAUCUGAUAUUAUUAGAGUAGGUUUAAAAUCACCUUCUAACAUGACUCUGGUAUAUUCUUGGGAGAAAAAAGACUUGAAAGGCAUCUGUAUAUAUAUUUUAUUCUCCAUAUUAGUCUCCCUGGAAUAGAACAUUUUUUCCUGAGACAAAUCUAUUAGCUCAACUCAGAUACCAGAAAAAAUUGCCCUAACUGGCAGAGCAUUUGUUAUGUGUUUGAAUGUUUGAUUUACAUAAAGAAGGUUGACAUCCAUUUCUUUCACAGAGUUCUUACAUUUGGGUAGAAUAAUGACAGGUUGCCUUGCCAUUGGGAAAUUCCUUGUUGUGGCCUUUGUGGCAGCUGUAGGAACACGGAAGGACUCCUCUGUGGCAGGCAGGCCUCCGGCCUCUGUGGUGUGAACACUGAGAAAGGGGUCUGUCUGGCCGGAGAGAGCCCCUGGCGAGGGAGCUGGGCAGACUCACAGAUGCUGAUGACGCUUGUAGACGCUGCUGGGAGUUGCUGUUUUGUGAGUGACCCAGAUUGUACUUCAUCCACUUCUGUAGUUUUUACAAAGGGUCAAAGUGCUGUGAUGAAUUCUUAAGCUCAGAUCUCAAUGUGGCAAAAUAAAUUUAUUAGGCUAGAGUAUUUCUGUUUUUAUUUUUAAUUAAACUUUGUAUUUUGAGAGAAUUAUAGGUUUCACAUGCAGUUGUACUAAGGAAUGGAGAGGUCCCCCUGCACUUUACCCAGUUUCCCCCAACAGUAACAUCUUGCAAUAUCUAGUGUAAUAUUACAGCCUGGACGUUGACAUUGAUACAGUCCAGAUACAGAACAUUUCCAUCACCACAAGCACUCCUUGAAGUGCGUUUUUAAAUGCGUACUCCCUUCUCUCCUGCCCCCCCUCAUCCCCUCCCCACCUUAACCCUAGCAACUACUAGUCUGUGCUGCAUUUCUAUAAUUUGUCUCUUUAAGAAUGUUAUAUAAAUGAAAUCAUAUAGUUUGUAACCUUUUGGAAUUUUGCCUUUUCUCAGCAUAAUUUUCUGGAGAUUCGACUUGCCUGUAUGAAGAGUUUGUUCUUUCUCAGUGUUGGGUAGUAUUCCGUGGUCUGGUUGUCCCACGGUUCGUUUAACCGUUCACCAUUGGGGCUGUUGGGAG